ACGGUCCUAAGGUAGCGAAAUUCCUUGUCAGGUAAGUUCUGACCCGCACGAAAGGCGUAACGAUUUGGGCGCUGUCUCAGCUGUAGACUCGGUGAAGUCUUAGUACCUGUGAAGAUGCAGGUUACCCGCGACUAGACGGAAAGACCCCAUGGAGCUUCACUGCAGGUUGAUAUUGGGAUUUGAUGCAGCAUGUACAGGAUAGGUAGGAGGCAAAGAGAUGGAUACGCCAGUAUUCAAGGAGCCGCUGUUGGGAUACUACCCCUGUUGUAUUGGAUUUCUAACCGGACGACGUAGAGCCGUUGACGGGACAGUGUCAGUCGGGCAGUUUGACUGGGGCGGUCGCCUCCCAAAGAGUAACGGAGGCGCCCAAAGAUACCCUCAGCUUGGAUGGAAACCAAGCGCAGAGUGCAAAGGCAAAAGGGUGUUUGACUGCGAGACCUACAAGUCGAGCAGGGACGAAAGUCGGGCUUAGUGAUCCGGCGGUGCUGAAUGGAAAGGCCGUCGCUCAACGGAUAAAAGCUACCCUGGGGAUAACAGGCUGAUCUCCCCCAAGAGUUCACAUCGACGGGGAGGUUUGGCACCUCGAUGUCGGCUCAUCGCAUCCUGGAGCUGAAGUCGGUUCCAAGGGUUGGGCUGUUCGCCCAUUAAAGCGGUACGCGAGCUGGGUUCAGAACGUCGUGAGACAGUUCGGUCCCUAUCUGUCGUGGGCGCAGGAAAUUUGAGAAGAGCUGUCCUCAGUACGAGAGGACCGGGAUGGACGCAUCAAUGGUGGACCAGUUGUCACGCCAGUGGCAUAGCUGGGUAGCUAAAUGCGGAAGGGAUAAACGCUGAAGGCAUCUAAGUGUGAAACCCACUUCAAGAUGAGAUUUCCCAUUGCGCAAGCAAGUAAGACCCCUUAAAGACGAUAAGGUAGAUAGGUCAGGAGUGUAAGCAUGGUGACAUGUUAAGCGGACUGAUACUAAUAGGUCGAGGGCUUGACCGA
Molecule: ribosomal RNA, 982 nt
Filed under: human gut metagenome
Description: bacterial LSU rRNA
Rfam family: Bacterial large subunit ribosomal RNA
Source: RNAcentral